Molecule: transfer RNA, 85 nt
Filed under: bacterium
Lineage: Bacteria
Also listed under: 6 other names
Description: tRNA-Leu
Rfam family: tRNA
About the family: Transfer RNA (tRNA) molecules are approximately 80 nucleotides in length.
Source: RNAcentral
GCCGAAGUGGCGGAACUGGCAGACGCGCACGUUUGAGGGGCGUGUGAGGUAACUCGUGGGGGUUCGAGUCCCCCCUUCGGCACCA